GCGCCGAUGGUAUAGUGGUUAGCAUCCUCGCUUCCCAAAUUUCUUUGGAACCAGCGAGGGACCCGGGUUCGAACCCCGGUCGGCGCA
Molecule: transfer RNA, 87 nt
Organism: Sordaria macrospora k-hell
Lineage: Eukaryota; Fungi; Ascomycota; Sordariomycetes; Sordariales; Sordariaceae
Rfam family: tRNA
About the family: Transfer RNA (tRNA) molecules are approximately 80 nucleotides in length. Their secondary structure includes four short double-helical elements and three loops (D, anti-codon, and T loops).
Source: Rfam